CCCCCAGGCCGGUGACACCGAGAGCUGCCGGGUGAGCCUGAGCCUGGAGCACUCCUUCGAGCUGGGAGGUGGCAGCGCGGGACGGGCUGUACCGGGUGCGGGUCCCCCGCAGGCCCCUGGGCCCGGGUGAGGAGGGGGACACCGAGUUUGUCACCUCCUUCGUGAGGGCGCCCCGAGACCGCCGCCUUCAUCCGGCACCUGGAGCAGGAGCAGGCGCAGCGCGCCCGGAACCCCCAGGAGCAGAAAUCCUUCUUUGCCAAAUACGUGAGGGACCCCAAAACCACCCAGCCCCAAAAAUCACCUGGGACACCC
Molecule: long non-coding RNA, 312 nt
Organism: Onychostruthus taczanowskii (white-rumped snowfinch)
Lineage: Eukaryota; Metazoa; Chordata; Aves; Passeriformes; Passeridae
Exons: 3
Source: RefSeq, a predicted model, not a curated record